ACAAAUCAGUAUCAAUGACAAUGCUCCUUGAAUUCCUAUUAUAUGCAAGCUUCCAGAAACCUCCCCCCACUGCCUCAUCAACUAUGCCCCAUGGAGAUUUUACAGAACAUCAUUACUAAUGAAGGGGAUAUAAAUGAAGUCCUGAAUUUUCUGCAGAAAGCCAACUUUUCUAUAACUGUCAUAACCAUGCACCUUCAUGAAUGAAUGAACAGAUGGAUGGAUGGAUAAGAACAAAUAUCCCCUUUCGUUUUUCCAUCAUAUUCUCUGCUGAAAGGAAAGACAAAGCCGACAGAGUCCUCAGAUGGGGAAAUCAACAAUUAAGAGGUCAGAUAACACCAUCCUCAUUGAUCCAACUUAGGUUGGUAUGCACACAGAAAGACCUUACUACAUGUGCUUCAGUUUGAAAGCCACCCUGUUCUCUAUGGAUCGAUGGCCCCGACCAAGACCAAUGAGACCUUGCUGUGGAUGGAGUUGCCCGAUAAUAUGACUUACUCUUUAUGGCUCCGUUGCUGGAUGGUUGGAUAUAAUUCGGGGCUGUCUUUGAUUCCUUUUUAAACAAAAAAGAAAAAAUAGCUCCUGUCAAUGGAAGAAAGCAAACACUUAACCUGCCAUUUAACCAUUUCUAGAAACACUUUGACAGUAUGUCCACCAAGAUUGUAACAGAAAUAACUCCACCAAGCCUUGCCAUGCAAAUCCAAGCCCCUCUAACUUUAGAAAAUCAUGAAGCCAUUUGUUCAUACGGUAAGUUUCAUUUGGAAACCAAAGGAAGGGUACCACUCCCAAGUUUUGUUACUCAAGGAAAACUUUAUAUCUUGAAAUACAAAAGACAAAAAAAAAAGGCACAGCAAAUGGCUGGCCAAUGCCUGAUAGGGAGUUUUAUUAUCUAAUAGUCCAGCUGUUGCUCAAAGUAGGUCCCAUUUUCCCGUCAGCUCAAAGAAAUCAUAAUCUAAAAGACAUGCUUGAACUCGGUGUUAAGGUUUUACAUCCUGAUAGGAUAGGGGGCAUCGCAGUUGUCCCAUCCUGUUCCUAUGAAAAAAAGGGAUAGGGGCGGGUUUGGGACACUGAAAUCCAUCCAUGCAGCAAGAGAAAAAGAAAGAAGAAAGGGAAGGAAAGAUAAAAAAAGAAAAAAUGAAAGGAAAGAACAAGAAAAAUGAAAAAAAAGAGAAAGGAAUGGAGAAGAAAAAGAAAGAAAAAAAGAAAGGAAAGAAAUGAAGGAAGAGGAAAAGAAAGAAAAGAAGGAAGAAAAAAAAAGAAAGAAAAAGAGGAGAAAGAUAGCGGAUAUCUAUCAGGAUGUAUGACCGGAACUGCGGAACAAAAUAGUGGGAUAUCUCAUUUCAUGGAGAAACUAGGACAUCUUUGUACCACGGGAUAUAUAACCUUGCUCGGUGUCAUGGGAUCACAUUUCAUACCAUAGAAGAAUAAAGAAGAAGAAAGCUACUAACAGAGAUUUGACACUCUGGAGAUGUUUAAAUGAAAGCCUUUUGAACAUACACAAAGAAAGCAUCAAGUUCCUUAGAUGAUCAAUAAGCAAUAAGUUAAAGAUACACAUAAUCAUUUCAUGAAGUUCGGUUAUAGUGAACUGGCCAGUUUUAAGUAUUUUAAAAACAAAAUGGAUCUAUAAAAAUUGAGCCACAGAUUUUAAAACCAUACAUUUCUUUAAGAAUAACAAUCUCUCCUCUCAGAUCGUCCUUAAAACCUGCCUCCACUGCCCCUUCAACUCUCACAUGCCACAAGUGCAAUCCACACGCUCAAGUUCUGUCAGCCAUGCUUUCAUAUUUUUUGAAGGGUAAUGGAAGUCAACCAAGACUGUGGCAAUCAACAUCAAGAGCCAAUUUCCCUUUUAGGAUACUAAGGCCAACAUCAAACUUGCUUUGUUGUCACAACAAUUGAUGAAGAAGAUUUUUAACACCAAGAAGAAACUAUUGAUGGCCUCAAGGAAGAAUUGUGUGCUGAAAUGUUCUGUUCUAAUCAUCAAACAAAAAUAUGCAGGAACAAUGAGUGUGUAGAUACUUUUCAAAAGAUCCAAGAACUCGAGCAAUGGAUAGACACAUCGAAGGAUGUCACCGUGCCAUCAAUAUAUUUAUGAACCACAGAGUUUGCAAAUCUCACUAGCAAUUGGUACUUGCAGAGAAAAUAAUGUUGAGUGAGGGAGAUGAAAAUAGGGAUUUAUGCUAGAUUACAAUUAUGAUGGCUCUGUAUAAAUGAGAUAUCAACCAGAAAAUUAGUCAGUUAGGGGACGUAAAAUGUAACAUUAAUGGAACAACUAAAAAACAAUUGUAAUUUCACUGAAGCUCGACGGCCAAAAAACACCCAACGUAGCAAUCAUUGUUAUCUCAGACCUAUCAUAUGAAAGAAGGUACUGCUAGCCCAAGAAAUCAAUAGAAGGUGUAGGGUGGUCGGAUAUGAUAUGCGCCUUUUGGUAUGUUUACGGGUUUUUUGCACAUUAUAUCUGGGAAGAAUUUUAGAACAUCACAUGAGAUGGCUCAACAGAAUGAUGGCUAAAUGACAACAACCAUCAUGCAUUGUCCCAACUACAUGGAUUGGCUUCACAUCGCCUUAUUUUACAUGCAAGCUUUCCCAAAUUCUUCCUCAAAACCUUCAUCCAUGUUAAACAGUACAUGUUCCUCUCCUCUCAAGACCUUCAAAUGUAUGAGCUGAAUCCAUCAUCAUUCAUUACUUUGUAUACAGUUCCCUUAAAACACUCAUUUCUCACUCAAUUCUUCUUCAUUUUGCCACAGAUCCAUCUUAUCAUUUGCCACAGUCGUCCAACUCACUUGGACCCUCUUUACCUCCCAACAUUCUAAACAAAAAAACUUGGUCCUUAUUGUUCUAUAAAUUCUUCCUCAUGCUGGAAGGAUACCAUCAGUCACAUAACACCAUAAAAUCACCGCUCCAGUUAAUCCAAGCAACCUUAAUUUUAUCAGCAAAUGUCUCCAUAUAUCAUUAAUAAAUAGGGUCACUGUGUAGAGAUGAUAGUUCUUACUAGGAUGUAAAAAUAGGAAGGCCAGUUUUAGAAAUGGUUCAGUGAAGCUUACAAGUUGCACCAUUGAAAAAGAGGAGAGGCAAUAUUAUGACAAUAAGGCAUGUGCAAUGAAGGAGAAAAUAAAGCUCCUCCUAUAUACCGAAAUUUGAAGUUUCAUAUGAGGGUCAGAAGUAGGAGGCAACCUUAAAAAAUUAUUAACAAAAUUGUGAGGACUUGACACAGAUUGUACUGGCAGGAAACUGGCUUUGAUUUGGAAGAAUAUGAUAAAUAAUGAAAGCUGAACACAAGGAGUUGGGUGAAGGCUUCAUGUUUGUGGCAUGGUUGCUGAAGUAAGGUAAACACCAGCCUUCUCACAUUUUUUUCCAACAACUCAAAUCGACCAAGUGACCAUCAAAAUAGACCAUGACAGUUGUCUUUUUUUAACUAGAAAGAGAGCAUUUAGGAUAAAUUAAGCUCUUACAUUGGCCUCAAAAUACAAAUACAUAUUACACGUCAAGUUAAGGGAUAUUGCAUAGAUAUAAGCCUUGCAAAGCAAAUAAAAAAAAAAAUGAUGUGGAAGAUACACUAUAUACAAAUGCAUCUGGAAUCAUUAUAUAUGAAGAAGAUAUAUGAGAAUUAAACAUAUUCCCCAGAUGUGUUGACUAUGAUGCAAAAAAGAACCAAAAACAAUAACUAGUAGUGAAGAGAGUAAUGAACUAAAGAAUCUUGGUUUUGAAUAGCAUAGGGGGAAAAGCCAUUACCGGUCAAACAAAUCAAAGAAUAAGAGCAACUUUGACAAGCACUUAUGGAAGAAUAAGAACCAUAGGUGUUAUAUGUAGGUAGCAAAAUUCAAAAUGCCACCUUGAAUGUAGUGUUAGAUCCAAGGUUUUAAGUUCCAACAGGCCGAAGGGCAUCCUGUCCUAUUACUACAAGAAAAUAGGACUGGGAUGUGGUCAGGACUCC
RNAcentral lists this long non-coding RNA (3925 nucleotides) under Elaeis guineensis (African oil palm). RNAcentral describes it as "long non-coding RNA (EGUI_LNC012560)". Lineage: Eukaryota; Viridiplantae; Streptophyta; Magnoliopsida; Arecales; Arecaceae. The record is from RNAcentral.